Molecule: non-coding RNA, 193 nt
Filed under: Oscillospiraceae bacterium
Lineage: Bacteria; Bacillati; Bacillota; Clostridia; Eubacteriales; Oscillospiraceae
Description: 6S RNA
Rfam family: 6S / SsrS RNA
About the family: E. coli 6S RNA was the first non coding RNA to be sequenced, but its function was unknown until recently. It consists of 184 nucleotides that fold into an extended hairpin structure with a large single-stranded internal bulge. The 6S RNA specifically associates with RNA polymerase holoenzyme containing the sigma70 specificity factor.
Source: RNAcentral
AACACCCUGCUUUGUGCGAGAAUCGUCCGUUUUUUUAAUCCAACAAAUCGUUAAACGGGAGUCCUUCUCCGGCUUUGUAAUGUAGGCCCUGCUUUUAUGGAUCAGGGGAACGUGAACCAGCCGGGAGAACUUUACCCACCCUUGUCAUUAGACCGGGUUUCAACGAUGGACUGUUCGGCAACGCGGGGUAUUU